AGACGCCCUGGUUCAGACGCCUCUGACAGAUGCUCCAAGAUGAUGUGAAGAUACAAGUGCCCUUCUUGUCUCAUGGACUCAAUCAGGAGAUAUGAAGAUUGACAACUGAUUGGCAAAAGUGAAGUCACUGUGUGACCUGUCCUGAAAAGAUGGUGGCUGCAUCUAGAAACAGUGACGUGUUUGGGGAACAAUGGAGUAGAGUCAGAGACGCACCUACUAAGACAUUUUGGCUGCUGGGCACCUGAACAUGAGCAAUGUGAAGCUUCCGGUGCG
RNAcentral lists this long non-coding RNA (273 nucleotides) under Homo sapiens (human). RNAcentral's name for it is "non-protein coding lnc-FBXO15-3:2". Lineage: Eukaryota; Metazoa; Chordata; Mammalia; Primates; Hominidae. The record is from RNAcentral.